This 534-nucleotide ribosomal RNA is filed under the name Elphidium sp. S1. Its description in RNAcentral is "partial small subunit ribosomal RNA". It matches the Rfam family "Eukaryotic small subunit ribosomal RNA", at positions 1197 to 1606 of the family's 1831-position model. Lineage: Eukaryota; Foraminifera; Rotaliida; Elphidiidae. The record is from RNAcentral.
GACUCACGCGGGAAUCUUACCGGGUCCGGACACACUGAGGAUUGACAGACAAAUAUGGAAAUUUUAUAUUUCUCAUAUAUAAAGAUGCUAGUUCUUUCAUGAUUAUGUGAUAGGUGGUGCAUGGCCGUUCUUAGUUCGUGGAGUGAUCUGUCUGCUUAAUUGCGUUUCAAUUUUUAUUAUGUAUACGUAUGACCCACGUUUACGCGUGCGAGUCUAGUAUGCUAUCAUUUGAAAGCAACGAACGUGACCGUAUCCUUUUAUUAUAUACGCACGCGUAUAUUUAUUCAUUAAAGGGACCGCUGUUUCUUUUUUUAAACCAGAGGAAGGUUACGGCAAUAACAGGUCUGUGAUGCCCUUCGAUGUUCCGGGCUGCACACGUGCUACAAUGAUUAUUUCAUUAAGUAUCUACUAUACUGCACAUUAUGUGUAUUAAAACCUACCCUGAGAAUGGGCGGGUAAUCAAUUAGAAGUAAUGAUUUCCUUUUUUUUAUACGCAACUAUGUACCGUAUAUUACAUCCCAUAAUAUUUUUUUU